Molecule: unclassified non-coding RNA, 345 nt
Filed under: uncultured Agaricales
Lineage: Eukaryota; Fungi; Basidiomycota; Agaricomycetes; Agaricales
Description: sequence contains ITS1
Rfam family: 5.8S ribosomal RNA (bases 1-105)
Source: RNAcentral
GAAAUGCGAUAAGUAAUGUGAAUUGCAGAAUUCAGUGAAUCAUCGAAUCUUUGAACGCACCUUGCGCUCCUUGGUAUUCCGAGGAGCAUGCCUGUUUGAGUAUCAUGAAAUUCUCAACCUUUUCAACUUUUUUUGGCUGAUCAGGAUUGGAUUGUGGGAGUUGCAGGAUUCACAGAAGUCUGCUCUCCUUAAAUGCAUUAGCAGAAAACAUCUUGUGGACCAGCUUUGGUGUGAUAAUUAUCUACGCUAUAGCUGUUAAGCAGGUCCUGCUUCUAAUCGCCUCUUUACUGAGACAAUUCAUUGACUUUUGAUCUCAAAUCAGGUAGGACUACCCGCUGAACUUAA